This is a long non-coding RNA of Arabidopsis lyrata subsp. lyrata, 1692 nucleotides long. RefSeq lists it as uncharacterized. The record is from RefSeq and is a predicted model, not a curated record. The transcript has 3 exons. NCBI's taxonomy places the organism in Eukaryota, Viridiplantae, Streptophyta, Magnoliopsida, Brassicales, Brassicaceae.
AUUAUUUAUAAGUUAUUGAAAGAAUCUCUUACUAAUAAAAGAGACUAAUUGAAGCCUCUCAAGCUAUCCACAUAAGCAUUUUCCAAACCUCACUAAAAUCUGCCACGUCAGCUAUCUAAUUGCUACCUUAAACAGCCACGUAAUCAUGUUCAGAAGUUAUUAAUUUUUAUCUGGAAUCAUCAACGCACAAAUCUAUGGGUGCUCAAUUAAGGUUACCUCAUCUCUUUACUUAAAAGUCGAAGCGUUCUACCUUCCCCUACGUCUAAUCACUUCCUCUUAACUACAUCCUCGAUUAUCAAGAGAGUGCAGAAGCAACGUUCAUCUUCCAUAAAACUUCUACUCUCUUUCCUCAGCAAAAUCAUGCUCCAUCAUCGAGAGUGUGUUGAAGAAACGUUCAUGCACUCACGUCUACUUACGCAAUCGAUCUUCAUUGCUUUUCAUCAAACCGUGAUAGUCAUCUCUCAAGCCCAUGUCUACGCCGUCCAAUAUGAAACCUGGGAAAGAAAACUCAAUCCCCAGGAAUUCAUAUAAAAUAUGCUUCCCUAAAAUACAACAAGUUGUAAGCGCUCAUUCUGUUUUAGUAACCAUCCCCAUUCUAUUUUUUAUAGGGGGUGAUAUUCGACAUUCUGCUGGAUAUUAACGAUGGAUAAAGGAGAAAUUCUGGUUUCCAAAAGAAUUUAUCCAUAAACCAUUCCUAGAGUCUUUUAUGCAUACACGGCGACACGAAUCGUCGGCAAACCAUGUUUGAGGUUCAUUUCUUUACCGAUGGAUCAUGAAGCAAUAUACUUUACCAUUGGUAGUUUAGCAUGACCAAAAACGUUCUUUAGAGAGAUAAUAUAAAGUCAUGGUGAAGUGACAUUGAAGGUUCAGUCCUCAUUGAAAAGGGGCGAGAACAUUUGCUGUCUUGACAAAAAUUGAUGUUAUGGACAAAGGAGCCGGUGCAUUACGUAAGUUGCCUUAUCACAUUGCAUUAUAAUUGUAAAAGAAGCUGCAACUAUUUGCAAUUAAAAGAGCUAGAAAUGCAUAACAAUAGUUUUCGUCUAAUUAGGUUAUGAAAUGAUAUUAGAGCUACGACAUGCUAACUUUUGUAGUAAUAUAUAUGUUCCCUCAUUUUUUAUUUUUUUGCUAAUUAUGUUCCCUCAUUAUUAUUGUGUCCAUCCCUACCUAACAAAUGAUGUUUUCUGCAUAGAUUCUACAAGCGAAAUCUCUUACACUUAAGUAUAUAUGGGUUAGUGUAGUCCUCCCACUCUCUUAGCUUUUCUGUAAAAAUUUAGUUACACAAAUCAAUGCCAUCCACGGUGUAACCUUCUCACUUCUAUCAUGUUUGUUUCAUUUAUGCUAGAUUUAAAAAUGGUGGGGCGAUGGCGAAGAAGAACCAAAGAUAGGCUCUCCUUAAAAUUGUUUGUAAUCCGAGAAAAAGUCGUUGGUCGAGGUGGUGAUGGGUUGGUAAACCAUGGUUAUGAUUACAAACGUAAGGACGUCGAACCCGUCGACAGUAUUGCCGUGACGUGCCAGAUAUCAUACUUUAAUCUGAAUACAAGGUUUACUCUUCCUAAAUUUGUCUAAUUCUUUAAUUUGGUUAUGUUCUUUUUCCUUUCAACCCUUGCUGUUUCUUUAAUUUGGUUAUAUAUGUUUUUGGCUUUGAACACUUUUAAAUUUCAAAAUAUAAAUUAUAGCCAAAAAAUUAUCAAU